UGCAUGGUGAAGUAAGAUCCUGUUCCAGGAGGUGUAUUUCAUGAGUGCAGAGUACCAGGACUGGCAGAAGGUGCUUUUCACUCUCAGGUACAUAAGUUUCUGUGCCUAUCCUUUAAAUACAAAAUAAGCGUUCUUACACUCCUCUCAAGUGAUGAAUUUCUGCCACUAAAACCCAUGUGAGGCAAUGAGGGCUAACCAGAUACUGUAUUUUCAAAGCAUUUAGUAUCUUUGCUCUGUGCUUUCCAGCCAACCCAAAGCUUUGGACUCCCCUCUUUGCUUUUUUUUUGCCAGGUUUUAUGGGGAUAUAUAAAGUGUGAAUGGCAUGCCAAGAGUUAGCAACUGCUUCACAUAGAUGUAGCAUUUGGAUACACUCUGGAGGAGCAAGACUAUCAGAAUGAACCUUUAAAGAACAAAAGCUACAGGGUGGACAAACUUCCACAUAUCUUUACCAAUACUCAGGUGCUCAAAGGAUAUUCUCCUGCCCACAUGCCGAGUGCACAGGCAGCAGGGACUUCCAGAACUUGAUGCCUAACCUCCCUUCUCUGGGUCUUGAAAACAUGAAAGGCAUUAAGAUGUUCUAUUUCAUGUGAUCAGCCUACUGCAUAUGGGCAUCAAUGACAGAACUACUUUCACUUCGAGCAGUGUGAUUUGUGUAAACUUCAAGAGUAUUCCUGAUGUUCCUGAAAGCUCUCUUGUACAGCUGGAAUUUAUGAAGGGGGCUGCAAUACUCCUUGGCUGAGUCACUGUCCUAGUGCUGAAUCUAAGAAAACUGAAGUGGCCAGUGAGUCCUCCUGAGAAGGACAGGUUUUCAUUAAGCACUCCAGUCUGACUGAAGUUCCUAAAAGCAGUACUGAGAGCUCGGUGCUGUGUCGCUGCAGCUCGGCCGGGGAAGGCGGAGGGGAUCGGGGAGCGCGGCUCUGUCCCUGCCGCGUCCGGGGCUCCCGGACCUGCUCCCGGCACAGCCGCGGCACGGAAUGAAGCCUCCCGCACGCUUUGAUUAACUUUGCUCCUUAAAAGCACUCCUCCCAAACUCACUGCUUCUGUAGGACCUUGAGUGCCAGCGGUCCUUAGAUACAAAGUGCACACAGUGUAAAGACAGCCACAGACACCUUCAAAGACAAAAAUACGGCACCUGGCACUUCUGCUAUGCUCUUCUGUUCUAUUUGAGUUUAAUUCUCUCAGUGGUAAGUCUUCAGUUUCUUUCUGCCUGAUGAAAUCCACCCAUCAAAGUUAACUCCAGUUUACUAAGGACACACAUACGCAGGCCAGGAUUUAUUUGGACUAAACAUUUAUUUCCAUUUUAAAUGGAGUUAAUUGCCAAUUAUCCUGACCUAAUUAAUGGUAGUGAAUGCAAAUUUGCACCCUCCCAAAAAUUUAUUCCAGGAAACAAACAGUUCUUUCCAGUCUCUGCUUGUUCUAUGACCAGCAAGGAUGAGGCACAGGCAUUUGUGUCUCAAAAGAAAUGAUUGCAAAGGGGGUAGAUUUGCUUUUGUCAGUUUCAUGUUAAUUGAUAACCAAUUAAAUAAAUGUAAAAGGCAACCAAAUCAUCUGGCCUAGGCAUGGUUUUCACUGAAAGAAGAGAAGCAUGUUUGAAACAGAAUGUUUGCACAUGCUGGAAAGCCUCAGUCAAAUAACAGUGUGAGGAGGUGGUGGGACAGGAGGGAGGGUCUGUGGUGUGCUGUACUUUGAAGUGUUUACUUCAAUCAGAUUUGGAAUUACUUUGACUAAGAUGACUUUUUUUUUUUGCAGUAAAGAAGUAAGAAAUUAAUAUUUUCAGGGUUCAUUUUAAAAAAGAAAAAAAAAAAAAGGAAACCUACUUCCGCUAUUAGAAUAUAGUGUGGUUUGAGGUUUUUACAAUACAAUUUAAUCAGAUUGCUGUAGCAUUUCAUACCUCAGUAAGGCUAUGAUGAAGAGCUAUGCUUUCCAGUCUAAAAUAAACAAACUCUAUUUUUAGUUGUUUCGGAAUAGCACUGAAAGGCAGAAGCAGAGGGAAUAAAAUGUUUCUGCUGUUUUGCAGGUGAGCAUAGCUAAUAGACCCAUAUGUGAAGAGAUUUAUUUUUAUUUUCAAAUUGUAAUGAUUUCCAAUUGAUCAAGUUAAUUGUCUUAACUAUAUGAAAAUGUGGGGAGGAGAAGAGAAGGGUUUCUUUGCAGCAGGACCAUGAGAUUCAGCCACAGUAUUGCUGAUCAGAGGAAAUAAAUCUGGGGCAGGUAAACAGACUCCCUGAUAAG
This is a non-coding RNA of Taeniopygia guttata (zebra finch), 2229 nucleotides long. NCBI's taxonomy places the organism in Eukaryota, Metazoa, Chordata, Aves, Passeriformes, Estrildidae. The record is from RefSeq and is a predicted model, not a curated record.